AUACGUAGGGAGCAAGCGUUGUCCGGAUUUACUGGGUGUAAAGGGUGCGUAGGCGGCUUUUUAAGUCAGAUGUGAAAUCUAUGGGCUCAACCCAUAAACUGCAUUUGAAACUAGAGAGCUUGAGUGAAGUAGAGGCAGGCGGAAUUCCCUGUGUAGCGGUGAAAUGCGUAGAGAUAGGGAGGAACACCCGUGGCGAAGGCGGCCUGCUGGGCUUUAACUGACGCUGAGGCACGAAAGCGUGGGUAGCAAACAGGAUUAGAUGCCCUGGUAGUCCACGCUGUAAACGAUGAUUACUAGGUGUGGGGGGACUGACCCCUUCCGUGCCGGAGUUAACACAAUAAGUAAUCCACCUGGGGAGUACGGCCGCAAGGUUGAAACUUAAAGGAAUUGACGGGG
This 396-nucleotide ribosomal RNA is filed under the name uncultured bacterium. Its description in RNAcentral is "partial 16S ribosomal RNA". It matches the Rfam family "Bacterial small subunit ribosomal RNA", at positions 523 to 918 of the family's 1533-position model. The record is from RNAcentral.